Molecule: transfer RNA, 73 nt
Filed under: Ceuthomantis smaragdinus
Lineage: Eukaryota; Metazoa; Chordata; Amphibia; Anura; Craugastoridae
Description: tRNA-Leu
Rfam family: tRNA
About the family: Transfer RNA (tRNA) molecules are approximately 80 nucleotides in length.
Source: RNAcentral
GUUAAUGUAGCACAACCUGGUACUGCAAAAGGCCUAAGCCCUUAUCAUGGGGGUUCAAUUCCUCUCGUUAACU